This 253-nucleotide ribosomal RNA is filed under the name uncultured bacterium. RNAcentral's name for it is "partial 16S ribosomal RNA". It matches the Rfam family "Bacterial small subunit ribosomal RNA", at positions 524 to 776 of the family's 1533-position model. The record is from RNAcentral.
UACGUAGGUGGCGAGCGUUGUCCGGAUUUACUGGGCGUAAAGGGCGUGCAGGCGGUUUGUUAAGUGCAGGGUGAAAGCUCCCGGCUCAACUGGGAGAGGUCCUUGCAUACUGGCGAACUCGAGGGAGGCAGAGGAAAGUGGAAUUCCCGGUGUAGUGGUGAUAUGCGCAGAUAUCAGGAGGAACACCGGUGGCGAAGGCGGGUCUCUGGGCCGAUACUGACGCUGAGGAGCGAAAGCGUGGGGAGCGAACAGG